Molecule: ribosomal RNA, 392 nt
Filed under: uncultured bacterium
Lineage: Bacteria
Description: partial 16S ribosomal RNA
Rfam family: Bacterial small subunit ribosomal RNA
Source: RNAcentral
AUACGGAGGGUGCGAGCGUUAAUCGGAAUUACUGGGCGUAAAGCGCAUGUAGGCCGUGUGGCAAGUUAGGGGUGAAAUCCCAGGGCUCAACCUUGGAACUGCCUCUAAAACUACCAUGCUUGAGUGCGAGAGAGGAUAGCGGAAUUCCAGGUGUAGGAGUGAAAUCCGUAGAUAUCUGGAAGAACAUCAGUGGCGAAGGCGGCUAUCUGGCUCGUAACUGACGCUGAGAUGCGAAAGCGUGGGUAGCAAACAGGACUAGAUACCCUGGUAGUCCACGCUGUAAACGAUGGAUACUAGUUGUCGGGCGGUAUGUUCGGUGACGCAGCUAACGCAAUAAGUAUCCCGCCUGGGGAGUACGGUCGCAAGGCUGAAACUCAAAGGAAUUGGCGGGG